Molecule: ribosomal RNA, 460 nt
Filed under: uncultured bacterium
Lineage: Bacteria
Description: partial 16S ribosomal RNA
Rfam family: Bacterial small subunit ribosomal RNA
Source: RNAcentral
CCUACGGGUGGCAGCAGUGAGGAAUAUUGGUCACUGGGCGUAAGCCUGAACCAGCCAAGUAGCGUGAGAGCUGAAGGUUCUACGGAUUGUAAACCUCUUUUAUAAAGGAGUAAAGUGCGGCACGUGUGCCGUUUUGUAUGUACUUUCUGCAUAAGGAUCGGCUAACUCAGUGCCAGCAGCCGCGGUAAUACGUCGGAUCCGAUCGUUAUCCGGAUUUAUUGGGUUUAAAGGGUUUGUAGGCGGCUUUUUAAGUCAGCUGUGAAAGUCUGUGGCUCAACCGUAAAAUGGACAUGGAUACUGGGAGUCUUGAGUACAGUGGAGGCAGGCGGAAUUCGUGGUGUAGCGGUGAAAUGCUUAGAUAUCACGAAGAACCCCGAUUGCGAAGGCAGCCUGCCAAGCUAUGACUGACACUGAUGCACGAAAGCGUGGGGAUCAAACAGGAUUAGAUACCCUAGUAGUC